Molecule: long non-coding RNA, 1041 nt
Filed under: Equus caballus (horse)
Lineage: Eukaryota; Metazoa; Chordata; Mammalia; Perissodactyla; Equidae
Description: lncRNA (ENSECAG00000051653.1)
Source: RNAcentral
UGGAGCACCUACCAUGGUGCUGGGGUAACAGAAACAGUCCUGCCCUCGGGGGGCUUACAUUCUAGCUCAGGGAAGACAAGCAAGAAACAGCCAACUAAACAUGAAGUUGUCAGGACAGCACGGCAGGGUAAAGAGAGAGAGUGUUGGGGAGGGUGUAGGAAAUAAAGUGCUCUUUUAAGUAAGAUGACCAGAGAAGGGCUCACAGAUAAAGUGACAUCUGACAAGGGACCUGAAGGGAAUUAAGGAAACAGGCAGUCAGAUAUGCGAGAGAAGAGCUCUUCAGGCAGAGAAAAGCAGCUGCUACCACAUUGACGGGCUCUCCAGGUGGGCGACGUUCAGCACAGCUUCAGGGACCUUGCAGCUCUGCAGCCAGAGAACUCCUCCAGGGCCCCAGGGCCCACAGAGCACGAUAAGGCUGGACGCGGCUCCUGACAUAUACAGCGAUGCUCAAUAAACAGUAGCGUGCCCUGAGUCCCCUGACCUCCCUCCACUUCUGCACCCGGAGGAAAAUGUCACACCAAAACGCAUGGUUUCUGAUUUCUUCAGGGUCACUGAAGGGAUGGGUGACACCAUCCAGAAGUGCAGCAGGGUUGACAUCCCAUGAGGCAAACGUUGACACGGGAUGGGAGGGAUCCUGAGGAUCAAUUGCCUCCCUACCCCCUCCCAUCACUAGAUGUUCACCAGUCUGCUCAGACAGCAUGUGUGGUCCUGCACAGAAGAAGAUAUACCUGAGACCAUCAGCCACACCUGUCACAAAGCUGUGUUUUGCGAAGUUCAGCCUUGCAUUUCCCGGUGUCUGCUCUCCCCAUCUCCCUGCCUCACUCUCCACUUUCCUCACUCCUGUGACCACUGGAUCACACUCUCCAUUAGCGUGAUAAGACAAGCUUUUUCCUUGGGCUCUGCUUUCUGGGAACCAGGCCUAAGGCAGUUGGUACUAAGCAUGGUCCUAGAGAGCAGAUCGUCAAGAUGGGACGUAGGAGCUGGGUUGCCCAUCUAUCUGAAGACAGUAGGGACCACUUCGCCGUGGAGAGUGGAGUGAUG